CAAAACGAAACUCACAGGGGAACCGACGCCUCCUCUCUCCGCCUCAAUCAUAUCGAGCCGCCGCCCCCAACGCAUCCAGCUGCCCCACCGACCCGUCGUGCCUUGAGGACGCCGUCCCCAUCGCCUCGAUCUGCCACCCCUCAGAUCUUCGUAUCGCCCCCACCAAUCGCCUCGUCUGGCCUCGGCCAUCGCCGGCGACGCCAGUGGUGAAGCCGCCUCUUACACCGCCUGGCUGACCGUCCAUCAGGGAUGCCGCCUCCUACAUCGCCUGGUCCGCAGACCGUCGGGGACGCCGCCUAGCCAACCGUCAGGGAGGGGGAGGUGUCGCCUAAACCGCGUUGCGGGCCGUCGGGGACGCCGCCUAAACCGCCUUGCCGACUGUCAAGGACGCUGCCUAAACCGCCCUUUGUUCACAUCUCCCCCUCACCUCGCACAGUCAGGGGACGAGCCGCCUUCAAACACACAGCCGCCAAGCCGGAGGUCUGUCAUCUCUGCUUUCUUUGGUUCAUCUUGUUUUUCCAGUGACGUGUUGCUUCACAUUUGAAAAUUUUCUUCAUGUGUGACAUAUUGAUUCACAUUGAUAAAACUGAAGCCAGCCAAAGCAAGCUUGUUACUAGAGUUCUAAAUAAAUCCUCCAUGGGUUAUUUGAAUGCAGACAUUCAGCAGUUAAGCUUCAUUACCAAUGUGAUUUGCAUUGCUUGUGUUUUUGACUCGCCAAUGAUCAUAUUAUACUGAUUUCCCUGAUUUUGUACACACAUCAAGCAGAUGAAAAAUAGUCAUUCGGGGCGCUUCUCCAUCAUGAUUAGGGAAUUGUUCCUAGUUUUUCGUGCAAUGUAGCUAUCCUCCAUUCAUCCAUCGGUGGAGAUGUGAAGUGGUGAACCACAUGGGAAGCUCGUCGGUUGGAACUAUCUACAUCUCAGAUGCCAGGCAAAAGAUGGACAGAGCGGCGCAUGCGGCGGCAGAGCAAGCAGUCAGGGAUUCACAACGAGUAUUCGACUGGCACGGAGGGGAUCCAGCAUUCCUUUGUUGUCUUGUGCAAUCAGCCUUCAGGAAGGAACCACAAUUGAUCUUGUGCAGUUCAAGACUCGCCUCAAGCGUUGCUGUAACAGUUCCUAUAGGCACAUGGCGGCUGGCCCAACUAUGAUGCAAUCCAAUUCAGCAUAUAGCUUCCUGGACACCCACAGCCACCCAAUUGGAAUGUUGUAUAUACACAGCGAUACAGGCUAUGUACGACCAUAUGGGAAUGCUUUUUUAUCUUCUUUCUUUGCUCGCAGAUUUGGUCAUUUGGAUAGCACAUUAUCAAGUGGUCUUACUUAAAAUUCAGUAUAAUAUGAGAUACAAGACGAGGUCAUUCAGAAAAGUGUUUUCACAUGACAGUAACAGUAUGGACCUAAUACCAUAAAAAAGGGUAAGGAGGUAAGGAGAGGUUGUUUGUUGGAAUCCACAGUGGACGUACGUACAAUUAGUCAUGUUAACCUGCCAUGUUAUUUGCUAUUAGCCAAAGCUUAGACAAUUUUGUUGAGGUUAUUUCUUUUUUUAAGCUUUAUUAGUUCUCAAGGCACCCUUUUCUUUUGUCUAGCUCUAUAUCCACUCAACUUUGAUGUAUUUUUUUUCUUAGCUCUGCAUUUCAUUGGUGCCUUGACAUUCACACUCAUAACAAGUGUUGAAAUUCUAACAUGCAGGGUUCUUGAGCGGUUGACUGGGGGUCCUUUCCUACAUGUUCUCUUAUGCACAAUUGUACAAUUGGCUAGGUAAAUGAGUGUACGGUAAAUUUCAGAUUCUUUUGUAGUUUCAUCUGCUGGGAUUUUAAGGUAGUAUAAGCUUUGGUAUUUUGUAUAGAAAAGGGUGUUUUUGGAUUAACGUGAUUGGAUGGUCAAGAUAUGUUGGAUCUACCCCUUUGGGGUUUUUUAUAUUGAUAUAGAUGUACACACUUUAGGGCUCAUUCGGUUUGAAGGAAAUCAAAACGUAGGAAUUAAAAGUAGUAUAGGAAUUUGAUAGGAUGGCACUUGCCAUCCUAAGGAUUUGACUUGCCUCGUUCCUACGCGUAAAAUGAGCUUUGAAUGGGUGUGUAGUUUCCUCCAAAAACACAGGAAAUGAGUAGUAUUCCUAUGAAAUUCCUGUACGCAUUUCCUACAAACUGAAUGCAUAUAUAGAAAAAUUUCCUCCGGAAUCCUUGUUCCUGUGUUUUUUCUACAAAAAUCCUUCAAACCGAUUGAGGCCUUAGUCUUCGUGUUGUUGAUGCAAGUAAACAGUUCGCGUAGGAAUAUGAACCAGAUACGCGGCCUUGCACCUGGUGAAGGCUAGCUUCUACAGAUUGCUUUCCUGAUAUUGAAUACUUGAGAGGUUUGUCUUUUUGUUACACAUAUGAAAUGGAUUUUCUUUUGUGGUAUGACAUAAUCAGUUUGUCGAUGUUGGAUUUGCGUGAAAAAAUAAGGUAUAUGUAUCACCUGCUAUUAAAAAAGCAUUCAUGGAUCAAAUAUAGUGACAUUAAUUCACAACUUAACUAUUCCAAUUUGGAAAAUGACGGGAUGAUUGAAGGUGGCACGUAUGUACUCCCUCCGUUCGGAGUUACUUGUCACAAAAAUGGAUGUAUCUACAACUAAAAUGCAUCUAGAUACAUUCAUUUCUUGGACGAGUAAUUUCGAACGGAGGGAGUAACAGUUAUGGCACUUGCAAUAUGCCAUUGCCAAGCGACACAACCAUGAAACAUUCUGUCAAGAAAAGGGUGAACAACCAUGAUACAUUUUUUUCAACAAAUUUUUAUGGACAAAGAGGAAAUUUUUCAUGAAAUGUUUCCUUAGUCAUAAAACGGAGGAAAUAAACUUGAAGACAAUGGGUGGAGAACGACAUGAGUAAACCAUUAAAGUUUUGUUCUGGAUGCAAGAUAGGCGGCUCAAAAAAAUUCCUAAGGAUACACGUGCAUUGCACGUGCAAACUUACUAGUACUGUAAAAAUGCAAAAAAGUCAUACCGUAAAAAGGGGGUUUGUGCAAUUUUGCUGGGACCAUGAAAUAUUUUACGCGAUCUGUUCUGUCAGAACAACAGUCAUACUAUAAAAAUGUAGAAAAAAAAGUUUUGCAGUAUCCUGUAAGCCAAUUUUUGCGGGACGGGGUAUGUCGAAUCUGCUAGAGAUGCUCUCACAAACCUCUGCUAUGUGCGUACUGAUGACAGAAGUUGAUUAAUUAGGUUUGUGGGAGAAGGCGGCGACGGCUUUGAGAAGAACGGAUGGGGAAGGACGGAGUACAGUUUCCUGUAAGUCUGGCUUAACCAGCGAACGUUCGCUCGCAUGGAAACAUGGUUUGUGGGAGAAGGCGGCGGCGGCUUUGAGAAGAACGGAUGGGGAAGGAGUAUAGUUUCUUGUAGAACAGGCUUAACUGGCGAAUGUUUGCUCAGGGACAUGGUAAAUGCGAAUGUCUUCCAUGACGGUUUGUGUUGGCCGAGGAAGAAAAAAUUAGUUAGCAAACAUAGCAAAUCCACUUCAGUUUAGUUUUCUAGACAUGAUUUUCCGUUCUUGUUAAAAUAAAUUGUCAUCCUCGCGACGACAUAAAUUUCUGUAAGAACUUCGUUUCUUGUAACUGUCGUCACCGAUCGUUUUUUAAAGAACUCAGAUUUGUUAUAAAGAUUCAUCAAAAACACAAAACAUCAUAAAUAUAAUAAAAAUCACAUUGAGUUCUUGAACCACUGGACAAUGACCAGUUUCUAUAUCACAACGAGCCACCGACACGUCACUGUUGUGGCUCCCUUGCCGGCGCUGACCUAACCUUGUCAAUGACAGUCGAGAACCAAUGCCAUGGAGCCACGAUCGCCAUCGUUGAACCCUUGAAUCGAUCCGAAGAACCUGACACCAAAUCACGUCGUAGCCUAUGCACAAUGAGAAACCCUAACCUCGCUUCCUCGAGGGGCCGCCAAGAAUCAAUACCGGAGCUGCGUCUAAUCCGCCCCGAAGGACGAGCUCGAGGAGGAUUGAAGAUUAGAAGACCGACUCAAAUAUGGAGUGUCGCCAUCUGCCCAAGCACUGCCCCUGCGAGCACUAAAACCCUAAACUAUCUACUAGUUGGAGCCUAGAGCCGAGGCACUAGGAUUCCAUUCCCUGCCACCGGUCACUAGAGCGGCAGUCAAAGAGGAGAUGAAUCCACGACCUCACCGGUGAAGGUCGAGGGGAGGAAGACCUUUUCCUAGUUGCCUUUGAUGUUUUUGCAAGUGCACCGAGUUUAGUUGUAGCCUUUUCGAAAUGUUCCCCAAGUGUUCCAAUGACUCACUCUAUUCUUUUAUGGAAAAAGACUUUCGCUCCGUUUUAUAUAUAAAGCACCGAUCAUACUUAUUCUUUUUUUUUCACUCCCCCACACAAUGUAAGGCCUCUUUUGCUGUGUAAGAUUUUUGUAGGAAUUCUAUAGGAUAGGAUUUACAAAAGAAAAGAAAAAAAAUCCUUUGAAGCCUUUUGAUUUGUAGGAAUGGAUUCUUAUUCCUAUGUAGGAUAGGAAUCAAUCCUUCACGUUUUGGAGGAAAAAAAACAUUAGCCUAGACUCAAUGUAAAAAUCCUAUCCUAUGUAUCAA
Triticum urartu is the source of this 4553-nucleotide long non-coding RNA. RefSeq lists it as uncharacterized. The record is from RefSeq and is a predicted model, not a curated record. NCBI's taxonomy places the organism in Eukaryota, Viridiplantae, Streptophyta, Magnoliopsida, Poales, Poaceae.